ACCAUCAAAGUUCAAAGCCGACUAAACUAUCAAGAUUGGACCACAGAGAACUCCCUAAAACACCGACAAACAAGAUAAUAGAGCGGGAGCCAUUAACAGCUUGAUCGUAAUAUUCGGUCAUCACUUCCUCAGAUGGCUUGCAGUGCCUUAACUCAACCUCUCUUCAACCUCAAGCUCUUACAUUCUAACCCAACUCCUCGAAAGAAGCCAUUACAAGCUUUCAUCUCUUACACACAACGGAGGACACGCCCGUGUUCAUCUUAUAACAGUCAUUUUAAGGCCAAUUUUCCCACUUUCCCAAAGCUCCCUUUGCUCUCUGGCCGUCUAAGCAGAUUCAAUGUGGGAGUACAGAAAGUGGAUGCUUCUGGGGAAGAGGGUGACUCGCUUGUGUCCGACGCAACGCAUCAGGAGAAAUAUACUUUGUCUUCUGUGAUUUUGCCGUUUUUGUUCCCAGCCUUGGGAGGUUUGUUGUUUGGGUAUGACAUUGGUGCCACCUCUGGUGCUACCAUCGCAUUACAGUCACCUGAGCUCAGUGGAACAACUUGGUUCAACCUUUCAGCCAUUCAGCUUGGACUUGUGGUUAGUGGUUCCCUUUAUGGAGCUCUUCUUGGUUCCCUUCUUGUCUAUCCAAUUGCAGACUUCCUUGGGAGGAGGCGAGAACUUAUCACGGCAGCUGUGCUCUAUACACUUGGUGGUCUGACCACUGCCUAUGCUCCAGCCCUUGGUGUUCUUUUAGUGGGACGGCUGCUCUAUGGCCUUGGUAUUGGUUUGGCUAUGCAUGGGGCUCCUCUCUAUAUUGCAGAAACUUGCCCAUCUCAGAUUCGUGGAACUCUAGUAUCUUUAAAGGAGCUCUUUAUAGUUCUUGGGAUUCUGUUGGGCUAUUUUAUUGGAAGCUUUCAGAUUGGUGUAGUCGGAGGGUGGCGUUACAUGUUUGGAGCUAGUGCACCAAUUGCUCUUAUUAUGGGACUUGGCAUGUGGAGUCUUCCACCAUCUCCACGCUGGCUGCUUCUUAGGGCAGUCCAAGGAAAAGGUUUAUUACAAGAUUACAAAGAGAAGGCAGUUCUUGCUCUGAGCAAACUAAGGGGCCGUCCUCCUGGUGACAAGCUUUCUGAAAGGCAAAUAGAAGACACAUAUGUCUCAUUGAAAUCUGCAUAUGCGGAUCAGGAGCCUGAGGGCAGUUUCUUGGAGGUCUUUCAAGGCCCAAGUUUGAAAGCCUUCCUAAUUGGUGGGGGGCUGGUCCUUUUUCAACAGAUAACUGGGCAACCAAGCGUUCUAUAUUAUGCAGGUCCAAUACUUCAGACUGCUGGGUUUUCUGCGGCCUCCGAUGCUACCCGAGUUUCUGUUGUAAUUGGCGUGUUCAAAUUUCUGAUGACAUCGAUAGCUAUCCUAAAAGUAGAUGAUCUUGGGAGAAGACCGCUGCUAAUUGGAGGAGUCAGCGGGCUUGCUCUUUCUUUAUUUCUGCUUUCUGCUUACUAUAAAUUUCUCGGAGGGUUCCCUAUUGUUGCCGUAGCCAGUCUACUUCUCUAUGUCGGUUGCUACCAGAUUUCAUUUGGCCCAAUCAGUUGGCUUAUGGUGUCAGAGAUAUUCCCACUUCGGACAAGAGGGCGAGGGAUUAGUCUUGCAGUUCUUACUAACUUUGGCUCAAAUGCCAUUGUAACCUUUGCAUUCGCACCAUUGAAGGAUUUUUUAGGAGCUGAAAAUCUCUUCCUUCUUUUCGGGGCUAUUUCUUUGUUGUCACUUUUGUUUGUACUGCUCGUUGUCCCGGAGACCAAGGGGCUGAGCUUGGAAGAGAUUGAGUCCAAGAUUUUGAAGUGAAAGCGCAAAUUGAAAAAAUGUACCAGUCGAGCUUCCAAUACACCCAAGUCGUUUUGGUACUCCUAUGUUGUCUCUGUUUAGUAGGCCCACAGCAGGAACUAACGAAGGAAAGGGAAGAAGUUUUCGUGUGUUUUUGACUUGCAGUCAUGAAGAAAUCAGCCUGCUUGUGCAGACAGCGGUCUUCUCCUUCCACUGAAAUUUCCCUUGUAUGCUUAGUGAAUGAAAAGUCAAGCUGCUCGUGCUUUCAUUGUGUCCGAAGUCUCAAGUAGGCCCACAGCAGGAAAUAACGAAGGAAAGGGAAGAAUUUUUCGUGUGUUUUUGACUUGCACUCAUGAAGAAAUCAGCCAGCUGCUUGUGCAGACAGCGGUCUUCUCCUUCCUACUGAAAUUUCCCUUGUAUGCUUAAUGAAUGAAAAGUCAAGCUGCUCGUGCUUUCAUUGUGUCCGAAAUCUCAAGGUGACAUUGAAAUAAUAUUCGGAAGACUAUUGUCAUUUUUCGCUUCUUUUUCGCCAUUUCAUUCAUCACCAAAUUGAAAUAUGCAUGUAUGGGUGU
Molecule: RNA transcript, 2366 nt
Organism: Carya illinoinensis
Lineage: Eukaryota; Viridiplantae; Streptophyta; Magnoliopsida; Fagales; Juglandaceae
Gene name: D-xylose-proton symporter-like 3, chloroplastic
Exons: 16
Source: RefSeq, a predicted model, not a curated record